Molecule: ribosomal RNA, 2876 nt
Filed under: Alteromonas stellipolaris LMG 21856
Lineage: Bacteria; Pseudomonadati; Pseudomonadota; Gammaproteobacteria; Alteromonadales; Alteromonadaceae
Description: bacterial LSU rRNA
Rfam family: Bacterial large subunit ribosomal RNA
Source: RNAcentral
UUAAGUGACUAAGCGUAUACGGUGGAUGCCUUGGCAGUUAGAGGCGAUGAAGGACGUGUAAGUCUGCGAAAAGCUGUGGUGAGCCGACAAAAUGCAUUUGAGCCACAGAUGUCCGAAUGGGGAAACCCACCUAUUUAUAGGUAUCGUUACAUGAAUAUAUAGUGUAACGAGGCGAACGAGGGGAACUGAAACAUCUAAGUACCCUUAGGAAAAGAAAUCAACCGAGAUUCCCCUAGUAGCGGCGAGCGAACGGGGAUUAGCCCUUAAGCAAUUAUGAACGUAGUGGAAGCCUCUGGGAAGUGGCGCGAUACAAGGUGAUAGCCCUGUACACGAAGUGUUUGUUUUUGUGAAAUCGAGUAGGUCGGGACACGUGUUAUCUUGACUGAAUAUGGGGGGACCAUCCUCCAAGGCUAAAUACUCCUAACUGACCGAUAGUGAACCAGUACCGUGAGGGAAAGGCGAAAAGAACCCCUGUGAGGGGAGUGAAAUAGAACCUGAAACCGUAUACGUACAAGCAGUGGGAGCAGACUUGUUCUGUGACUGCGUACCUUUUGUAUAAUGGGUCAGCGACUUAUAUUUAGUAGCAAGGUUAAGCGAAUAGCGGAGCCGUAGCGAAAGCGAGUGUUAACUGCGCGUUUAGUUGCUAGGUAUAGACCCGAAACCCGGUGAUCUAGCCAUGGGCAGGUUGAAGGUUGAGUAACAUCAACUGGAGGACCGAACCCACUAACGUUGAAAAGUUAGGGGAUGACUUGUGGCUGGGGGUGAAAGGCCAAUCAAACCGGGAGAUAGCUGGUUCUCCCCGAAAUCUAUUUAGGUAGAGCCUCGGACGAAUUCCAUUGGGGGUAGAGCACUGUUAAGGCUAGGGGGUCAUCCCGACUUACCAACCCUUUGCAAACUCCGAAUACCAAUGAGAACUAUCCGGGAGACACACGGCGGGUGCUAACGUCCGUCGUGAAGAGGGAAACAACCCAGACCGCCAGCUAAGGUCCCAAAAUAUUGCUAAGUGGGAAACGAUGUGGGAAGGCAUAGACAGCUAGGAGGUUGGCUUAGAAGCAGCCACCCUUUAAAGAAAGCGUAAUAGCUCACUAGUCGAGUCGGCCUGCGCGGAAGAUGUAACGGGGCUAAGCAAUAUACCGAAGCUGCGGAUACGUGUUUACACGUAUGGUAGGGGAGCGUUGUGUAAGUGGAUGAAGGUGGAUUGAGAAGUCUGCUGGACAUAUCACAAGUGCGAAUGCUGACAUGAGUAACGAUAAUGGGAGUGAAAAACUCCCACGCCGGAAGACCAAGGUUUCCUGUCCCAUGCUAAUCAGGGCAGGGUAAGUCGGCCCCUAAGGCGAGGCAGAAAUGCGUAGUCGAUGGGAAACGGAUUAAUAUUUCCGUACUUAUAUAAUCAGUGAUGGAGGGACGGAGAAGGCUAAGCAAGCUUGGCGUUGGUUGUCCAAGUGAAAGCAAGUAGGCCGAGUGUUUAGGUAAAUCCGGACGCUUAAAGCUGAGAUGCGAGACGAGCUACUACGGUAGUGAAGUUGUUGAUGCCCUGCUUCCAGGAAAAGCUUCUAAACUUAUGAUUAUAUAAACCGUACCCCAAACCGACACAGGUGGUCAGGUAGAGAAUACUAAGGCGCUUGAGAGAACUCGGGUGAAGGAACUCGGCAAAAUUGUACCGUAACUUCGGGAGAAGGUACGCCCUUGUUUGUGAUAGGACUUGCUCCUUGAGCAGAUGAGGGCCGCAGUGACCAGGUGGCUGGGACUGUUUAUUAAAAACACAGCACUCUGCUAACUCGCAAGAGGACGUAUAGGGUGUGACACCUGCCCGGUGCCGGAAGGUUAAUUGAUGGGGUUAUCUUCGGAGAAGCUCUUGAUCGAAGCCCCGGUAAACGGCGGCCGUAACUAUAACGGUCCUAAGGUAGCGAAAUUCCUUGUCGGGUAAGUUCCGACCUGCACGAAUGGUGUAACCAUGGCCACGCUGUCUCCACCCGAGACUCAGUGAAAUUGAAAUCGCAGUGAAGAUGCUGUGUACCCGCACCUAGACGGAAAGACCCCGUGAACCUUUACUACAGCUUGGCACUGAACAUUGAACCUACAUGUGUAGGAUAGGUGGGAGGCUUCGAAGCACAGUCGCUAGAUUGUGUGGAGCCGUCCUUGAAAUACCACCCUUGUAUGUUUGAUGUUCUAACAUUGGUCCCUUAUCGGGAUUAUGGACAGUGUCUGGUGGGUAGUUUGACUGGGGCGGUCUCCUCCCAAAUAGUAACGGAGGAGCACGAAGGUUAGCUAAUCACGGUCGGACAUCGUGAGGUUAGUGCAAUGGCAUAAGCUAGCUUAACUGCGAGACAGACACGUCGAGCAGGUACGAAAGUAGGUCAUAGUGAUCCGGUGGUUCUGUAUGGAAGGGCCAUCGCUCAACGGAUAAAAGGUACUCCGGGGAUAACAGGCUGAUACCGCCCAAGAGUUCAUAUCGACGGCGGUGUUUGGCACCUCGAUGUCGGCUCAUCACAUCCUGGGGCUGAAGUCGGUCCCAAGGGUAUGGCUGUUCGCCAUUUAAAGUGGUACGCGAGCUGGGUUUAGAACGUCGUGAGACAGUUCGGUCCCUAUCUGGUGUGGGCGUUGGAUGAUUGAUGGGAGCUGCUCCUAGUACGAGAGGACCGGAGUGGACGAACCGCUGGUGUUCGGGUUGUCAUGCCAAUGGCAUUGCCCGGUAGCUACGUUCGGAACGGAUAACCGCUGAAAGCAUCUAAGCGGGAAGCCGGCCCAAAGAUGAGUCAUCCCUGACUUUUAAAGUCCGGAAGGGUUGUUAUAGACGAUGACGUUGAUAGGCAGGAUGUGGAAGCGUUGUAAGGCGUUAAGCUAACCUGUACUAAUUGCCCGAGAGGCUUAACCAU